CAGCCGCCACGGUAAAACGUAGGUCCCGAGCGUUGUCCGGAUUUAUUGGGCGUAAAGCGAGCGCAGGCGGUUGGAUAAGUCUGAAGUUAAAGGCCGUGGCUUAACCAUAGUACGCUUUGGAAACUGUUUAACUUGAGUGCAAGAGGGGAGAGUGGAAUUCCGUGUGUAGCGGUGAAAUGCGUAGAUAUAUGGAGGAACACCGGUGGCGAAAGCGGCUCUCUGGCUUGUAACUGACGCUGAGGCUCGAAAGCGUGGGGAGCAAACAGGAUUAGAUACCCCUGUAGUCCCUGUCUCUUAUACC
Molecule: ribosomal RNA, 301 nt
Filed under: uncultured bacterium
Lineage: Bacteria
Description: partial 16S ribosomal RNA
Rfam family: Bacterial small subunit ribosomal RNA
Source: RNAcentral